AUUGAACGCUGGCGGCAUGCCUUACACAUGCAAGUCGAACGGCAGCACGGGGGCAACCCUGGUGGCGAGUGGCGAACGGGUGAGUAAUACAUCGGAACGUAUCCAGUCGUGGGGGAUAACCAGUCGAAAGAUUGGCUAAUACCGCAUGAGAUCGAAAGAUGAAAGCGGGGGACCCGCAAGGGCCUCGCGCGAUCGGAGCGGCCGAUGUCGGAUUAGCUAGUUGGCGGGGAAGAGCCCACCAAGGCGACGAUCCGUAGCUGGUU
RNAcentral lists this ribosomal RNA (263 nucleotides) under uncultured bacterium. RNAcentral's name for it is "partial 16S ribosomal RNA". It matches the Rfam family "Bacterial small subunit ribosomal RNA", at positions 30 to 292 of the family's 1533-position model. The record is from RNAcentral.